Molecule: ribosomal RNA, 463 nt
Filed under: uncultured bacterium
Lineage: Bacteria
Description: partial 16S ribosomal RNA
Rfam family: Bacterial small subunit ribosomal RNA
Source: RNAcentral
GACGAACGCUGGCGGCGUGCUUAACACAUGCAAGUCGAACGGGAAGGCCCUGCUUUUGUGGGGUGCUCGAGUUGCGAACUGGUGAGUAACACGUGAGUAACCUGCCCUUGACUUUGGGAUAACUUCAUGAAACUGGGGCUAAUACCGGAUAGGAGCUCCUGCUGCAUGGUGGGGGUUGGAAAGUUUCGGCGGUUGGGGAUGGACCCGCGUCUGAUCAGCUUGUUGGUAGGGUAGUAGCUUACCAAGGCUUUGCCGCAUAGCCGGGCUGAGAGGAUGACAGGUCAGACUGGGACUGAGACACGGACCAGACUGGUACGGGAGAGAGGAGUAGAGAAUACUAUAGGCGGGGCGAAAGUCUAGUCACGCAAUGCGGCGGGAGAGAUGAAGGGGGUAGGGUUGCAAAGCUCUCUUAGCCGGGAUGAGAAUGACAGUAAUGGGAGAAUAAGCACCGGCUAACUACGUG